UCCUGCACACGUUUCUGUACGUGUUUUUUAGGUCGGAAACAAGCGACAGUGCUGAGACUCUUAAAACAUAACCCCUUAGUUUGUGUGUUUGGGGAGACGGAGCUUGUUCAAGGGUGAACGUGUCUUGCUCUGCAUCAAUAUUUAGCCUGAAACUUUGAGUUGACAUCCAGACAGACAGGUCCACAGAAUAAUAUAUUGGUUAGUUGGUUUUACUGGGUAGAAUGUGGAAAAGUGCAUUCAGGUUUGUUGUGCUUUUGGGACUGCAGGGAAUGUACACAGCCAUUGAGGAAACUCUCUAUUUUGUGCUCUCAGAAAUGUCAAAUUCCACUCCUAUAUGCACCUACCCAUCAUUUGAGGAAAUGCUUGCUGUCAAUUGUGAGAUACAUACAGUGAAUAAUUUGACAUAUGGAUGUGCAAUUGCGUAUCGAUUUGACAUUAAUAAAAUACACACAAGUUGUGUCUCCAGAGUCACCAUGCACGUAGAGAAGGAAAGAACAUUUUUACACUUCAUACAUCCAACAGCAUCUGAUGAAGGGAACUACAAAUGUCAGUGUAUCUUUCAUGGAGGAACAAAUUUCACAAAUAUCAGUGUUUCUUACAAAGAAUCUCAUGCGUCUAUGACUGAAGAAGGCCCCUACUACCCUAAUGUGACGGUGAUGAUGGGAGGUUUGGCAGUGACCAUGGUUGCUGUUGUACUUGUUGGAGUAACUCUGAAGAAAAUACAUCUCUGGAAACUUCACCAGCAAAACUGUGUCCCUUCCAAAGAGUUUCACGUAAAACAUGAUGUCUUUAUGAACUCAAAUGAAUUCACAGCACUUCGGUAUAGGGUAUCAAUGAUUAUGCCUUUAAAUGUCCAUGAAUACAGUACCAGUCAAAAGUUUGGACACAUUUUCCCAAAAUGUGUCCAAACUUUUGACUGGUACUGUACAUAAAAUGUGUUUAUUCUAAGUCAUGUUGGUUGAUUGCUCAGUGAGACUGCUUUGCUUGUGUCUUUUAGAAGGUGCAGGAUAUUGAGCCAACGAGCCGUACAACACAUUCAUAUUGAGAACCAAUGGGCUGUACUCAACUGCCCAGCUGGUCAUCCAGUUGAACUCCCUGUGCUGAUGAUGACGACUGACUUAUACUAUACACACUGGUCACAACUCUUUUUGACUCUUACCAUAGUCUGCUUCCCAACCACUUUCCAGUAACAUUACUUCUUUGGCUCUCUUCCAACUUCAUUACUUAUCAAUAUUGGUUUCCGCCCCACUCCCCCCCCCCCCCCCCCACCCACUCAAUAAUCAAUAUUUCUGAUAAUCACAGAAUCAUGUUGCACCUAAAUUGUUUACUGUGACAUGUGUAAUUAACAAAUACAAUGUUGUCUCAUUUAUUAUUAAUAAAAGUGACUUUGCACCCUUCAUCUGAGUUACCAAGAACAUGUGCACAUGUGGUUUCCUAAUGUUGCUAAAACUGAAAAUAAACGUUGAGCAGUGAAUAGUAGUUGCCAGGGCUGCACAGCUAUCUACCCCAUUGUCAUAUACUUAUAGAGCCCACAGACCCACAGACUCCUCAAUACAUCAAAUACCACUUCCUCCUGCACAAGUUUCUGUACGUGUUUUUUAGGUCGGAAACAAGCGACAGUGCUGAGACUCUUAAAACAUAACCCCUUAGUUUGUGUGUUUGGGGAGACGGAGCUUGUUCAAGGGUGAACGUGUCUUGCUCUGCAUCAAUAUUUAGCCUGAAACUUUGAGUUGACAUCCAGACAGACAGGUCCACAGAAUAAUAUAUUGGUUAGUUGGUUUUACUGGGUAGAAUGUGGAAAAGUGCAUUCAGGUUUGUUGUGCUUUUGGGACUGCAGGGAAUGUACACAGCCAUUGAGGAAACUCUCUAUUUUGUGCUCUCAGAAAUGUCAAAUUCCACUCCUAUAUGCACCCACCUAUCAUUUGAGGAAAUGCUUGCUGUCAAUUGUGAGAUACAUACAGUGAAUAAUUUGACAUAUGGAUGUGCAAUUUCGUAUCGAUUUGACAUUAAUAAAAUACACACAAGUUGUGUCUCCAGAGUCACCAUGCACGUAGAGAAGGAAAGAACAUUUUUACACUUCAUACAUCCAACAGCAUCUGAUGAAGGGAACUACAAAUGUCAGUGUGUCUUUCAUGGAGGAACAAAUUUCACAAAUAUCAGUGUUUCUUACAAAGAAUUUCAUGCAUCUAUGACUGAAGAAGGCCCCUACCCUAAUGUGAUGAUGAUGAUGAUGAUGAUGGGAGGCUUGGCAGUGACCAUGGUUGCUGUUGUCUUUGUUGGAGUAACUCUGAAGAAAAUACAUCUCUGGAAACUUCACCAGCAAAACUGUGUCCCUUCCACUGAGUUUCAAGUAAAACAUGAUGUCUUUAUGAGCUCAAGAGGUGCAAGAUAUUGAGCCGUACAGCACAUUCAUACAGACAACCAAUGGGCUGUACUCAACUGUCCAACUGGACUUUCCCUGUGCUGAUGAUGACUGACUGAUACAAGAUACACACUGGUCACAACUCUUUUAGACUCUUAGCAUGGUCCACUUCACUGGUUUGGGACACACUAUGUUCAGGAGAAUGGGAAAGUCUACAGCACAUUCUUGUGAUUAUUGUGUACCAAAUUACUCCAGUAUCAAUACUCGCCACCAGAUGUCAGUCUCAUACAUUUUACAUUAAAAACUAUUCUGCUGAUUCUAAGCUACAUACAAAUUGAAUAUAUUGAAAGUGCAGCAGAAAGUCAAAGAUCAGAACAGCAUAGUUCAGUAGUCAGUGUCAAGGAACGACCUGUAUUUUCCUGGCACAUAAAUUGUGGUGUGGCCUCUCCUGCUACUGUAGCUUUGUGAGUUGAGUCACAGAAUCACUUCCUUCUUUCAGAUGGGAAUUUAUAUACUAAACUUUGUAUUGCCAGUAACAUUACUUCUUUGUCUCUCUUCCAAUCCCCCCCCCCCUCCCCACACACACACACACACACACACAAACACACACAAUAAACUUCUCUCCACAUACCCUUGAGAAUUCUCUUGACCACAAAAUGGCAAGCCCUUGAGAAGAGCAAUAGAAAUGAAAGUGAAAUUUCAGGUUGACCAGCUAACCACGAUUUAUUAUUCUGGGUGGUCAGUGGGUUGUCACUUAAAUAUACUAACUAACUACGCUACAUAACAUUUCUCAUAUCAUAAAACAUGCGUUAGGGUCGGAUAAACUUGUCGACAGAAAUUGUGUAAAUCAGAUGUUUUUAUUCUGUUUGGUGGGUGUUUUUUCAGAUUGAAUUGUCUGUCAAUGAGACAUCCAAUAGAGGAUUAGGUAAAUUAGAAAUGUGUUUUAUCGAGGUGCAAAGCAAAAUGACGUAUACUCUCCUGCCAACGCUGGCAUCAAUGGUUCUGCCUUCAAUAAAUUUACAAAUAAUUUGGACAUCA
Molecule: RNA transcript, 3400 nt
Organism: Hypomesus transpacificus
Lineage: Eukaryota; Metazoa; Chordata; Actinopteri; Osmeriformes; Osmeridae
Exons: 8
Source: RefSeq, a predicted model, not a curated record